Molecule: long non-coding RNA, 464 nt
Organism: Manduca sexta (tobacco hornworm)
Lineage: Eukaryota; Metazoa; Arthropoda; Insecta; Lepidoptera; Sphingidae
Exons: 2
Source: RefSeq, a predicted model, not a curated record
CGCACGUUGAGCUACUGAGCCCGUGACUUGAAUAUAUUCACAUAUCCACUCCUUACCGCGGCUAUUGUGUUCCGAAACAAGAACAUUCAUAAAAACUGCAUUUUUUCAGUAAAUUUUAUCACCGUGAACUAUUCCUACCUCAGAAGGUAUUAUUAGGAAAUAAAUAGAUCCAUUUAGCGAAUGAGCCGGAGCGAACAAUACACGGGCGUGGAUAUAAUUAAACGGAAUUAUUGCUUAGCCAUAAAUAUAUGGAAACAGUCCCCAAUGAAUAUUUUAACUCAACAGUAUUUUGACUAUGCAAGGGUACUGAAAACAAACCGCAUCUUCCUAGUAGGCACUUUCGUGUUAUGAUCAAUGUUAUUAUAAGAUGUUGCCGUGACCAACACAGAUUCGGUUGCUAUCUGUCGCAAAUCACAUUCGAUUAUAAUUAGAUAAUAAACUACAAACACUUGUCAACAUUGUAA